This is a non-coding RNA of Harmonia axyridis, 73 nucleotides long. Lineage: Eukaryota; Metazoa; Arthropoda; Insecta; Coleoptera; Coccinellidae. The record is from the annotation of a RefSeq genome assembly.
UCCUCGGUAGCUCAGUUGGUAAAGCACUGAACUAGCGAUUCGGAGGUUGUGGGUUCGAGUCCCGCUCGGGGAG